CACCAUUAACCCAUUCUGUGCCAGCUCUUCCAUUAACCUAUUCUGUGCCAGUCACUGAUAGAUCACCCAUUAAGCCAUUCUGUGCCAGUCACCGAUAGAUCCCCAUUAACCCAUUCUGUGCCAGUCACCGAUAGAUCCCCAUUAACCCAUUCUGUGCCAGUCACCGAUAGAUCCCCAUUAACCCAUUCUGUGCCAGUCACCGAUAGAUCCCCAUUAACCCAUUCUGUGCCAGUCGCCGAUAGAUCCCCAUUAAUCAUUCUGUGCCAGUCACGAUAGAUCCCCAUUAACCCAUUCUGUGCCAGUCACCGAUAGAUCCCCCAUUAACCCAUUCUGUGCCAGUCACCGAUAGAUCCCCAUUAACCCAUUCUGUGCCAGUCACCGAUAGAUCCCCAUUAACCCAUUCUGUGCCAGUCACCGAUAGAUCCCCAUUAACCCAUUCUGUGCCAGUCACCGAUAGAUCCCCAUUAACCCAUUCUGUGCCAGUCACCGAUAGAUCCCCAUUAACCCAUUCUGUGCCAGUCGCCGAUAGAUCUCCCAUUAACCCAUUAUGUGCCAGUCGCCGAUAGAUCCCCAUUAACCCAUUCUGUGCCAGUCGCCGAUAGAUCCCC
Molecule: non-coding RNA, 608 nt
Organism: Pelobates cultripes (western spadefoot toad)
Lineage: Eukaryota; Metazoa; Chordata; Amphibia; Anura; Pelobatidae
Source: the annotation of a GenBank genome assembly